UGGGGAAUUUUGGACAAUGGGCGAAAGCCUGAUCCAGCAAUGCCGCGUGUGUGAAGAAGGCCUUCGGGUUGUAAAGCACUUUUGUCCGGAAAGAAAUCCUUGGCUCUAAUACAGUCGGGGGAUGACGGUACCGGAAGAAUAAGCACCGGCUAACUACGUGCCAGCAGCCGCGGUAAUACGUAGGGUGCAAGCGUUAAUCGGAAUUACUGGGCGUAAAGCGUGCGCAGGCGGUUUGCUAAGACCGAUGUGAAAUCCCCGGGCUCAACCUGGGAACUGCAUUGGUGACUGGCAGGCUAGAGUGUGGCAGAGGGGGGUAGAAUUCCACGUGUAGCAGUGAAAUGCGUAGAGAUGUGGAGGAAUACCGAUGGCGAAGGCAGCCCCCUGGGCCAAUACUGACGCUCAUGCACGAAAGCGUGGGGAGCAAACAGGAUUAGAUACCCUGGUAGUCCACGCCCUAAACGAUGUCAACUAGUUGUUGGGGAUUCAUUUCCUUAGUAACGUAGCUAACGCGUGAAGUUGACCGCCUGGGGAGUACGGUCGCAAGAUUAAAACUUAAAGGAAUUGACGGGGUCAUAGCUGUUUCCU
This 585-nucleotide ribosomal RNA is filed under the name uncultured bacterium. RNAcentral's name for it is "partial 16S ribosomal RNA". It matches the Rfam family "Bacterial small subunit ribosomal RNA", at positions 355 to 1375 of the family's 1533-position model. The record is from RNAcentral.